ACUCAAAGGAAUUGACGGGGGCCCGCACAAGCGGUGGAGUAUGUGGCUUAAUUCGAUGCAACGCGAAGAACCUUACCAGGGUUUGACAUGGACUGUGUCGCAGGUGAAAGCCUGCUAGCUGGCGCAAGCCAGCGCUUUCCACAGGUGCUGCAUGGCUGUCGUCAGCUCGUGUCGUGAGAUGUUGGGUUAAGUCCCGCAACGAGCGCAACCCUUGUGUCCUGUUGCCACUCCUUAAAUGGAAGCACUCUGGACAGACUGCCCUGUGAAACGGGGAGGAAGGUGAGGAUGACGUCAAGUCAGCAUGGCCCUUACACCCUGGGCUGCACACGUACUACAAUGCUCAGUACAAUGGGAGCCGAAACCGCGAGGUGGAGGAAAUCACGAAAACUGAGCCCAAUUCGGAUCGCAGGCUGCAACUCGCCUGCGUGAAGCCGGAAUCGCUAGUAAUGCCGUAUCAGCUACGACGGCGUGAAUACGUUCCCGGGCCUUGCACACACCGCCCGU
This 504-nucleotide ribosomal RNA is filed under the name uncultured bacterium. Its description in RNAcentral is "partial 16S ribosomal RNA". It matches the Rfam family "Bacterial small subunit ribosomal RNA", at positions 899 to 1397 of the family's 1533-position model. The record is from RNAcentral.